GACGAACGCUGGCGGCGUGCUUAACACAUGCAAGUCGAACGCUGAAGCUCAGCUUUUGUUGGGUGGAUGAGUGGCGAACGGGUGAGUAACACGUGAGUAACCUGCCCCCUUCUUUGGGAUAACGCCCGGAAACGGGUGCUAAUACUGGAUAUUCACUGGUCUUCGCAUGGGGGUUGGUGGAAAGGGUUUUUCUGGUGGGGGAUGGGCUCGCGGCCUAUCAGCUUGUUGGUGGGGUGAUGGCCUACCAAGGCUUUGACGGGUAGCCGGCCUGAGAGGGUGACCGGUCACAUUGGGACUGAGAUACGGCCCAGACUCCUACGGGAGGCAGCAGUGGGGAAUAUUGCACAAUGGGCGCAAGCCUGAUGCAGCGACGCCGCGUGAGGGAUGGAGGCCUUCGGGUUGUGAACCUCUUUCGCUCAUGGUCAAGCCGCAACAAUGGUUGUGGUGAGGGUAGUGGGUAAAGAAGCGCCGGCCAACUACGUG
This 483-nucleotide ribosomal RNA is filed under the name uncultured bacterium. RNAcentral's name for it is "partial 16S ribosomal RNA". It matches the Rfam family "Bacterial small subunit ribosomal RNA", at positions 28 to 507 of the family's 1533-position model. The record is from RNAcentral.